GUAGUAUUCCCUCCGUCCCAAACUUCUUGUCUUACAUUUGUUUAGAUACAGAUGUAUCUAACACUAAAAUGUAACUAGAUACAUCCGUAUUUAGACAAAUUUAAGACAAGAAUUUUGGGACGGAGGGAGUACAAA
Non-coding RNA from Triticum aestivum (bread wheat), 135 nucleotides. Lineage: Eukaryota; Viridiplantae; Streptophyta; Magnoliopsida; Poales; Poaceae. The record is from Rfam.